Molecule: non-coding RNA, 128 nt
Organism: Ustilago trichophora
Lineage: Eukaryota; Fungi; Basidiomycota; Ustilaginomycetes; Ustilaginales; Ustilaginaceae
Source: the annotation of a GenBank genome assembly
GGCGCUUUGGCGGAGUGGUUAUCGCGUGGCACUCGAAUUUCGAUUCGAGGGGAGCAUCUCCCCACUCAACAAUUAUACUGAAUAUGCCAUUCCCUCUGGGAGCAUAGGUUCAAAUCCUGUAGGCGUCG